Molecule: ribosomal RNA, 497 nt
Filed under: uncultured bacterium
Lineage: Bacteria
Description: bacterial SSU rRNA
Rfam family: Bacterial small subunit ribosomal RNA
Source: RNAcentral
AACGAACGCUGGCGGCGCGCUUAACACAUGCAAGUCGAACGAGAAGCCGGAGCAAUCCGGUUGUAAAGUGGCAAACGGGUGAGUAAUGCGUGGGUAAUCUACCCUCGGGUGGGGAAUAACUCUUCGAAAGGAGAGCUAAUGCCGACAUGUGCAUCACUUUCGCAAGGAAGUGCUGGAAAGCCGUAUCGUGGAUACGGCGCCCAAGGAUGAGCUCACGUCCUAUCAGCUUGUUGGCGGGGUAACGGCCCACCAAGGCUGCGACGGGUAGCUGGUCUGAGAGGACGACCAGCCACACUGGCACUGCGACACGGGCCAGACUCCUACGGGAGGCAGCAGUGAGGAAUAUUGCGCAAUGGACGAAAGUCUGACGCAGCGACGCCGCGUGUGGGAGGAAGCUCUUCGGGGUGUAAACCACUGUUGCCCGGGACGAAAAGCGAGUUUUGACUCGCCUGACGGUACCGGGUGAGGAAGCACCGGCUAACUCUGUGCCAGCCGCC